This 408-nucleotide ribosomal RNA is filed under the name uncultured Phormidiaceae cyanobacterium. Its description in RNAcentral is "bacterial SSU rRNA". It matches the Rfam family "Bacterial small subunit ribosomal RNA", at positions 355 to 776 of the family's 1533-position model. The record is from RNAcentral. Lineage: Bacteria; Bacillati; Cyanobacteriota; Cyanophyceae; Oscillatoriales.
UGGGGAAUUUUCCGCAAUGGGCGCAAGCCUGACGGAGCAAGACCGCGUGGGGGAGGAAGGUUCUUGGAUUGUAAACCCCUUUUCUCUGGGAAGAAAAAAAUGACGGUACCAGAGGAAUAAGCAUCGGCUAACUCCGUGCCAGCAGCCGCGGUAAGACGGAGGAUGCAAGCGUUAUCCGGAAUGAUUGGGCGUAAAGCGUCCGUAGGUGGCAUUUCAAGUCUGCUGUCAAAAACCGUAGCUUAACUACGGAAAGGCAGUGGAAACUGAAAAGCUAGAGUGCGGAAGGGGCAGAGGGAAUUCCUGGUGUAGCGGUGAAAUGCGUAGAGAUCAGGAAGAACAUCGGUGGCGAAAGCGCUCUGCUGGGCCGCAACUGACACUCAGAGGACGAAAGCUAGGGGAGCGAAUGGG